This 939-nucleotide ribosomal RNA is filed under the name uncultured bacterium. Its description in RNAcentral is "bacterial SSU rRNA". It matches the Rfam family "Bacterial small subunit ribosomal RNA", at positions 470 to 1399 of the family's 1533-position model. The record is from RNAcentral.
UGACGGUACCUUUCAAGAAAGCUCCGGCUAACUACGUGCCAGCAGCCGCGGUAAUACGUAGGGGGCAAGCGUUAUCCGGAUUUACUGGGUGUAAAGGGAGCGUAGACGGAAGUGCAAGUCUGAAGUGAAAACUUGGGGCUCAACCCCGAGACUGCUUUGGAAACUGUGCUUCUAGAGUGUCGGAGAGGUAAGCGGAAUUCCUAGUGUAGCGGUGAAAUGCGUAGAUAUUAGGAGGAACAUCAGUGGCGAAGGCGGCUUACUGGACGAUAACUGACGUUGAGGCUCGAAAGCGUGGGGAGCAAAACAGGAUUAGAUACCCUGGUAGUCCACGCCGUAAACGGAUGACUUAGGUAGGGUGUGGGGGGUGCAAAGGUACUUCGGUGCCGCAGCCAACGCAAUAAGUAGUCCACCUGGGAGAGUACGUUCGCAAGAAUGAAACUCAAAGGGAAUUGACGGGGGACCCGCACAAGCGGUGGAACAUGUGGUUUAAUUCGAAGCAACGCGAAGAACCUUACCUGGUCUUGACAUCCCGAUGACCGUUCCGUAAUGGGAACUUUUCUUCGGAACAUUGGAGACAGGUGGUGCAUGGUUGUCGUCAGCUCGUGUCGUGAGAUGUUGGGUUAAGUCCCGCAACGAGCGCAACCCCUAUCUUCAGUAGCCAGCAUUUAAGGUGGGCACUCUGGAGAGACUGCCAGGGAUAACCUGGAGGAAGGUGGGGACGACGUCAAAUCAUCAUGCCCCUUAUGACCAGGGCUACACACGUGCUACAAUGGCGUAAACAAAGGGAAGCAAGCAUGUGAGUGUGAGCAAAUCUCAAAAAUAACGUCUCAGUUCGGAUUGUAGUCUGCAACUCGACUACAUGAAGCUGGAAUCGCUAGUAAUCGCGAAUCAGAAUGUCGCGGUGAAUACGUUCCCGGGUCUUGCACUCACCGCCCGUCA